AUCCAGCUGAUGAGUCCCAAAUAGGAUGAAAAGCCUGUCCUGGAU
Molecule: non-coding RNA, 45 nt
Organism: Schistosoma rodhaini
Lineage: Eukaryota; Metazoa; Platyhelminthes; Trematoda; Strigeidida; Schistosomatidae
Source: Rfam